AUUGAACGCUGGCGGCAUGCUUUACACAUGCAAGUCGAACGGGGUGAAGGGGCAACUCUUCAUUCAGUGGCGAACGGGUGAGUAAUGCAUCGGAACGUACCUCGUAGUGGGGGAUAACUCGGCGAAAGCCGUGCUAAUACCGCAUAUGCUCUACGGAGGAAAGCAGGGGACCUGAGAGGGCCUUGUGCUAUGGGAGCGGCCGAUGUCCGAUUAGCUAGUUGGGGGUAAUGGCCUACCAAGGCGACGAUCGGUAGCUGGUCUGAGAGGAUGAUCAGCCACACUGGGACUGAGACACGGCCCAGACUCCUACGGGAGG
RNAcentral lists this ribosomal RNA (316 nucleotides) under uncultured bacterium. RNAcentral's name for it is "bacterial SSU rRNA". It matches the Rfam family "Bacterial small subunit ribosomal RNA", at positions 30 to 348 of the family's 1533-position model. The record is from RNAcentral.